UUCCACAAUAGUAUGAAUUGUUCAAACUAUGCUAAAAGAUCUGUUUAUUUGAGUUACUAUAUAUGAAGCUAUUCUUCAAUGUAUUUGUUUUACAAAUCGGAACUCGAAAUUCACGUUUAUUUCUAAGAUUUACAUUCAUUAAGAUCAGGAAGAAGAUGUUGUAGUUUGUGGUUAUGAUGACGGCAAAAUUCAUUCUAAGUGUCAGGAAGUUGGUAUGUGUCUAGCAAAGAACCUCUCCUACACAGUUCACACUCCCACAAGACUCCUCCCUACAGCCCCUUCGCAGAUUGCCCACCUUUGAAGCAUUUCAUCUUGGCACAGUUUACCAAAAUAGCGAAGUUAUUCUUGUGUGUUUUUCAGGCAUCCGGCUAUCAAUCCACAGCUUGCCCAUUAGGCCAUAUAGCGUCUGCAUCAUCAGAGCAUAAGUUUGAAACAUGAUAUAUGCACAAUUGACCUGUUAAAAUGUUAAUUUCCUAUAAUUCGUAUCACCAUAGUUAUUAUAUUAACUAUGGUAUCACUCAUUUAGUCUGUCUGGUCUAAAUUAAGCCAUGCCGUGAAUUUCGAUUCCGCUUCGCCAUUUUGCAUUGCCCAUACGUUGUUCGCCUCGUUUUCAUGUCACAUGAGAAAGACAUAUUUCAGUCGAUAUAAUCUUGAACUGUGUGUAGACUCUGUACCAGUGUAGGUGGUGGCAAUAAUAUGAACAAGCUUUCGUUGGCAGGGAUGCAUGCAACGAUCUGAAAAAUAUAAGCAACUACAUGAAAAAUAUCUCCUUAUAUUUUUCUGGUAGUUGUAUUCCUACCAACGAAAGAUUGUUCAUAUUUCAGGCGACAGUUAAAAAAAAUAUAACACGCAAACUCGCGCUUUAAUCCUUCUAGUGGGUUUCAAAAUGUGAAGACUUUUCAUCAGUGCUUUACACCAGGAAUUAAUAACAUCAUAAAACUUAAUUACAACCUAAUUGCUUGGAUUGCAUUUUGUGCUAAGUCGACAUUUUUCUUUCACAAUUCCGCGUCUUAAAUAGAUUAAAGUUACUAGAUUACAUCCGCUUUUUGUUAUUUAAAUCGGUUUCUAAAAAUGAUACAUAAUCCCCCUUAAUCUUUCACAUUGACCACAGGUUAGGGCUCUGGUUCUCCUUCACGUGCAGUUUCGAAGCCACCUACACAGAGACGUGACCUUUCAAAACGUUUCUGCAGGCUUGAGCAUUUUUGGACAUUUCAUUUUUCAUUGUCCAUAUCAGAUAUAAGUAUGUCGUUAACAACACAAAAGCGAGGGUAAAUUAUCCAUCAUUUGUUAAAGAGACAACUAGACAAUACACCAGCCAUCAUACAAUGUGUAACGAAGCAAGGCCUCAUUAAGAACCAACACUUGUUUUGGAGAGCAACGCUUAAGCUUUUGGCUUUGCCGACUCACAAUAUUAGGCACUGAAUGUCAAGCAUGUCAAGCAUAUAGCAAUUGCAACCGAUUUACUCGUUUCAGCAUUGCACACGGAACUACUAGGAAUUGGUGGAAAAAAGUCUUCCUACUUUUUGAGGGUUUGACUCACGCAACUAUCAGCAAAUUAAGAACAAACGUCAGGAAACGUCGACGUUUCGAGCUAAAUUUUUUAUCGGUUACUUGACUACUUAAGUAGAGAAUUUUCUUUGCCAGAGCAGCACUCAUGCUGAUCCAAAUGUGUGAAAUUCCACAUCUUCUCAAAAAGCAGAGUAUUCCCAAUGCUUGUUUCAUGUUUUCUUGUUUCAAUUUAUGAUAAGUUGUACAAGUUUGUAACAAGUUGUUGUCACAGUAUAUAACAAAGCAUAUAGAACAAAGUUCACAAGCAGUCCGAAGCAGAACAAAGUUCGUAUCAGAUUGAAAAUUAAAAUCUUGUUAAUCUUGUCAAAUGCACACAAUAUCAUGACAAACAGCUUUGAGAUAGUGCUCCAGCUUGUUACAAGAAGUUCAUAACAACUGGGGACAAACCCGAGUGAAAACAUAUUCCAACAAAUAUUCAGAUAUCGGCUUUCUGGCAGACGUUUUGCCUCUUACAUACAUCACGUAAAUACGUAACUCUGCUUAAUUCUAAGCGUGAGUCUGUAAGUACAUGCAUAUAACCUGAUCAAAGUAAAUCUUUAAAUAUUCUAAUACUGAAGAACAUAUUUUGACUGAUGAAUUAUCUUGGAAACUAUUUUAGGACUAUGAUUGCUAUCAGUUUCAUUGACUGUAGAUUUUAUUCAAGCAAGACAAUGCCUCAAUGAAUUGAGCCAGACCCCCUACACACGCUGCCACGAGUGAGAUAAUCCAGUACUUUGUUUUAUUUAAUGUUUUACUCGUGCAAGAUAAGCCUCUUGCCUUGAGGCGAUUCACGUAGAAUUGAUGUUGGUAUACGAAUCAAAAACAUUCCAGAAGCACUCUUUUCACAUCAUCAAUAAGUGUAUAACUAGCAUUUUCCACGAUAAAAAAUGGAAGAUGAAUGCAUUCGUGCUUCAGAUUAUUUCACAAUGUUUGCUGUUGCACGGUCGACUAACUUUAUAUCUUCAGUUCCACGUUUCGUAUGUUGACUAAAGAUUAAGUUUCUUAAAAGAUGCACAGUCAUCGAAUUUCUUCCGAGAGUUCAGGCUAGCCGGAGAAUCUGUGACGCGCUACCUACACAGAGAUCCAACCUUAGGAAGACUUGGUAAUUGAAAACAUGUAUAGGUCUCUUUCUCUUUUA
RNAcentral lists this long non-coding RNA (2686 nucleotides) under Paramuricea clavata. Lineage: Eukaryota; Metazoa; Cnidaria; Anthozoa; Malacalcyonacea; Plexauridae. The record is from RNAcentral.